GCGACAUUGGCGUAGCGGUUAGCGUGUUGGUCUCAUAAUCCAGAGGUGCGAGUUCGACUCUCGCAUGUCGCA
Molecule: transfer RNA, 72 nt
Organism: Ordospora colligata OC4
Lineage: Eukaryota; Fungi; Microsporidia; Ordosporidae
Rfam family: tRNA
About the family: Transfer RNA (tRNA) molecules are approximately 80 nucleotides in length. Their secondary structure includes four short double-helical elements and three loops (D, anti-codon, and T loops). Further hydrogen bonds mediate the characteristic L-shaped molecular structure. tRNAs have two regions of fundamental functional importance: the anti-codon, which is responsible for specific mRNA codon recognition, and the 3' end, to which the tRNAs corresponding amino acid is attached (by aminoacyl-tRNA synthetases). tRNAs cope with the degeneracy of the genetic code in two manners: having more than one tRNA (with a specific anti-codon) for a particular amino acid; and 'wobble' base-pairing, i.e. permitting non-standard base-pairing at the 3rd anti-codon position.
Source: Rfam